This 216-nucleotide ribosomal RNA is filed under the name Glomeromycotina sp. Its description in RNAcentral is "partial small subunit ribosomal RNA". The stretch from base 40 to 216 matches the Rfam family "Eukaryotic small subunit ribosomal RNA", at positions 686 to 864 of the family's 1831-position model. The record is from RNAcentral. Lineage: Eukaryota; Fungi; Glomeromycota.
GGGUCAGUAGGUUGGUCGUGCCACCGGUACGUACUGGUCUCACUGAUUCCUCCUUCCUGAAGAACCGUAAUGCCAUUAAUUUGGUUUUGCGGGGAAACAGGACUGUUACUUUGAAAAAAUUAGAGUGUUUAAGGCAAGCUAACGCUUGAAUACAUUAGCAUGGAAUAAUGAAAUAGGACGAUCGAUCCUAUUUUGCUGGUUUCUAGGAUUGACGUA